Molecule: microRNA precursor, 75 nt
Filed under: Pteropus vampyrus (large flying fox)
Lineage: Eukaryota; Metazoa; Chordata; Mammalia; Chiroptera; Pteropodidae
Description: miRNA (ENSPVAG00000028080.1)
Source: RNAcentral
GGGAUCUUGUUAAAAUGCAAAAUCUGAUUCAGGAGAUCUGGGCUUGGCCCGAGGUUCUGUAUUUUUAACAAGUUC